UCGAGAUCCAGACUUCCAGGGAGCAGCGAGCGAGCCUAUCAAAUAUAUCUCUCUUUUGCGUGGUUUUGUGACGCUUUUGGACUCUUGGAGUCGGACAGUUCUUUUCCAGAAGAGGCGACAAUAAUUCUGUACCUGCUGAACUUACGAAUGGAGUCUGGUGGUUGGAGUGAUUUUCUCUGGGAAGGCUAAGUUUCAUUAUGGUUGUUAAUAUUUAUAUAAACUUUUGAGAAUUCCAUUUGCUUCGGUGUGUUGUCUGAUUAUACCUAUCACAAUAUAGUUCUUUGAUCUGGUUGCUUAAUGUAAUGGCUAUUUAUAACAGGUAAUGAAACUCGAGGAGGCCUUAGGCCAUUUGUUCUAUGAAUUUAGUAUAGUUUAAGAUCAGUAAACAAGAGUCCAUGAAGAUUUAACUGAAAGCUAGAUCACCUUUAGGGAGCAAACUACGACUGGGAGAAAUAUAACCUUUUUUAAUUCAGGAUAAGGAAGGUACACAACAUUCUCUUCUCUGGUUACGCUUCAUAAAACAAGGAUAUGGCGAAUGGAAUGGCUUACCGGUAUUAAAGAACUCUUGCUCGUUGCUUUCCACCAAAAUAACUUGAGGUGAGAAUGGAGGUUGGCGUUAAAGAUAUGCUUCACUUUAUGAUAAGGUGUCCUGCAUUGAUAGUUCACCGGUGUAAUUGGUUAUGACACUUCAAUUAAUAUUAAAUGUACGUGUAAAUACCAACUUUAUUACCUUCACCAUGAAGAACAAUUGCAGAUUGCUGAGAUUUCAUUGCUAUGGAAUAAGUAUUAAAUUAUCUCAAGUUGUCUUUACCUUCCCCAGAAGAUUAAAUUUUAAAAUCCCCAGGGAUUUACAGUACUGUGACUGUUUUAACUUAAUAAAACAUAAGUCAGACCAUAAGUAUACCAUUACUUAACAAUAUUUCGGGUAAUAGUCAUGGCGUUAACAUCUUUUAAUACCUGCAAUUAUUUCGGCUGAGUUUAUAACAGGAGAGAAAAAAAUUACUUCAAAUGUAAUUUAGAUGUUGAGUAGUCUGAUAGUUUAAGGUAGACAGAAUCUAAAUUUGUCUGAAAGAUUUUAAGGUGUAAAUAACUUACCCUAUAAUUUAAUUCGUAUAUACUGUCAUUUUCUGCCUUUUCGUGUUCUGAGAAGGUAUCAAGGUGUAAGCAAUUCGCCUUAUUAUUUAAUUCAUAUAUACCGUACCGUCCUUUACUACUGUUUCGUGUUGUGAAAAGGUAUCAAGGUGUAAAAAACUCUUUAUUAUAAUAUAACUCUUA
Macrobrachium nipponense is the source of this 1275-nucleotide long non-coding RNA. RefSeq lists it as uncharacterized. NCBI's taxonomy places the organism in Eukaryota, Metazoa, Arthropoda, Malacostraca, Decapoda, Palaemonidae. The record is from RefSeq and is a predicted model, not a curated record. The transcript has 4 exons.